AUUGAGAGUUUGAUCCUGGCUCAGGACGAACGCUGGCGGCGUGCUUAACACAUGCAAGUCGAGCGAUGAAGCUCCUUCGGGAGUGGAUUAGCGGC
RNAcentral lists this ribosomal RNA (95 nucleotides) under Clostridium butyricum. Its description in RNAcentral is "partial 16S ribosomal RNA". It matches the Rfam family "Bacterial small subunit ribosomal RNA", at positions 1 to 99 of the family's 1533-position model. Lineage: Bacteria; Bacillati; Bacillota; Clostridia; Eubacteriales; Clostridiaceae. The record is from RNAcentral.